GCAUAAGGGAGCUUGACUGCGAGACCUACAAGUCGAGCAGGGUCGAAAGACGGACUUAGUGAUCCGGUGGUUCCGCAUGGAAGGGCCAUCGCUCAACGGAUAAAAGCUACCCCGGGGAUAACAGGCUUAUCUCCCCCAAGAGUUCACAUCGACGGGGAGGUUUGGCACCUCGAUGUCGGCUCAUCGCAUCCUGGGGCUGUAGUCGGUCCCAAGGGUUGGGCUGUUCGCCCAUUAAAGCGGUACGCGAGCUGGGUUCAGAACGUCGUGAGACAGUUCGGUCCCUAUCCGUCGUGGGCGUAGGAAAUUUGAGAGGAGCUGUCCUUAGUACGAGAGGACCGGGAUGGACAUACCUCUGGUGUACCAGUUGUCGUGCCAACGGCAUAGCUGGGUAGCUAUGUGUGGACGGGAUAAGUGCUGAAAGCAUCUAAGCAUGAAGCCCCCCUCAAGAUGAGAUUUCCCAACUUCGGUUAUAAGAUCCCUCAAAGAUGAUGAGGUUAAUAGGUUCGAGGUGGAAGCAUGGUGACAUGUGGAGCUGACGAAUACUAAUCGAUCGAAGACUUAAUCAA
This 566-nucleotide ribosomal RNA is filed under the name Staphylococcus aureus. RNAcentral's name for it is "partial 23S ribosomal RNA". It matches the Rfam family "Bacterial large subunit ribosomal RNA", at positions 2357 to 2925 of the family's 2925-position model. The record is from RNAcentral. Lineage: Bacteria; Bacillati; Bacillota; Bacilli; Caryophanales; Staphylococcaceae.